RNAcentral lists this ribosomal RNA (385 nucleotides) under uncultured bacterium. RNAcentral describes it as "bacterial SSU rRNA". It matches the Rfam family "Bacterial small subunit ribosomal RNA", at positions 30 to 418 of the family's 1533-position model. The record is from RNAcentral.
AUUGAACGCUGGCGGCAUGCCUUACACAUGCAAGUCGAACGGCAGCGCGGGGCAACCUGGCGGCGAGUGGCGAACGGGUGAGUAAUAUAUCGGAACAUACCCUAGAGUGGGGAUAACGUAGCGAAAGUUACGCUAAUACCGCAUACGCACUAAGGUGGAAAGUGGGGAUUCGCAAGAACCUCAUGCUCAUGGAGUGGCCGAUAUCUGAUUAGCUAGUUGGUGAGGUAAAGGCUCACCAAGGCGACGAUCAGUAGCUGGUUUGAGAGAACGACCAGCCACACUGGAACUGAGACACGGUCCAGACUCCUACGGGAGGCAGCAGUGGGGAAUUUUGGACAAUGGGGCAACCCUGAUCCAGCAAUGCCGCGUGAGUGAAGAAGGCCUC